Molecule: long non-coding RNA, 366 nt
Filed under: Mus spicilegus (steppe mouse)
Lineage: Eukaryota; Metazoa; Chordata; Mammalia; Rodentia; Muridae
Description: lncRNA (ENSMSIG00000016607.1)
Source: RNAcentral
CAACAAUGUAAAGCUCAGAAGUGGUGAAAUAGACAUGCUUGGGAAUGAUCUCCAGGAUGCCUUCCCCGGGACACGCUUCAUGUCAUAGGAUGGGCAGAAAGAAAACAUGGCCUCUUUCUUGACCCCAAGGAUGUCUUGCAAAGACCAAUAGUAACACAGCAAAAAAAGAAAAAAAAAAAAGGAAGAAGAAGAAGAAGAAGCAUUAAGUACCAAAAGAAAUGCUAUGAAAAUGCCAAAACCAGACUCUGGGACAUUUUGUCACCAUGCGGGGAGCUGAAGGAGAAUUGCUGAGUAGAGUCUACGUGUUGACAAGCUCUGUCAGGCCUCCUAAGGAAGAGAAAGCUGCCCUCCAGCUGAGCAUCUCCU